This 466-nucleotide ribosomal RNA is filed under the name uncultured bacterium. Its description in RNAcentral is "partial 16S ribosomal RNA". It matches the Rfam family "Bacterial small subunit ribosomal RNA", at positions 28 to 506 of the family's 1533-position model. The record is from RNAcentral.
GAUGAACGCUGGCGGCGUGCUUAACACAUGCAAGUCGAACGGAAAGGCCCAAGCUUGCUUGGGUCCUCGAGUGGCGAACGGGUGAGUAACACGUGGGUGAUCUGCCCUGCACUUCGGGAUAAGCCUGGGAAACUGGGUCUAAUACCGGAUAGGACCACUUCUUGGAUGUUGUGGUGGAAAGUUUUUUCGGUGUGGGAUGAGCUCGCGGCCUAUCAGCUUGUUGGUGGGGUAAUGGCCUACCAAGGCGUCGACGGGUAGCCGGCCUGAGAGGGUGUACGGCCACAUUGGGACUGAGAUACGGCCCAGACUCCUACGGGAGGCAGCAGUGGGGAAUAUUGCACAAUGGGCGCAAGCCUGAUGCAGCGACGCCGCGUGGGGGAUGACGGCCUUCGGGUUGUAAACUCCUUUCGCUAGGGACGAAGCGUUUUGUGGCGGUACCUGGAGAAGAAGCACCGGCUAACUACGU